UUGCAUUGUUUCCAGAUAUGGUCUGUUGAAGAAUUAGAAGAGUUAUGAGAAAUUAAAGUUGUAUCAACCACUCAUGGCUAGAACGAAAGGAAGAAGAUUUUAUGUAAUGGCCGCAUAAGAAUCCUAGGAAAUGUAUUCGGAAAAAUGUACAACCGGACAGCAGCUGGAAAGUGUAUAAAGUACAUCUUCUUACUACAAGUGACUCCUAUCUAGAAGGCAUUAAAUUACGCGAAAAGAAAAUCAAAUUCAGAUAUGGAAACAUCAUGUUCCCAGUUAGGGAAAGGUAAACGUAGAAGAAAGCAUAAGAGCCAAGAUGUCAGUGACAAUUCCGAUAGCGACCCACAGAGAAUGACAUCGCCUCCUUCGAUAACAAUUUCUCACGAUAUACGGACAGGAGGAGGUAAUUUCAAUGACAAUAAUGGCACUUCAACCAAUGUGGAUGAAGUCGACAAAGAAGUCCAAGAAAAUAAUAUUGCUGCUAUAAUGACAACUAGAGAUGAGAAUUUUACAAUUCCGGGUUACAUUAUUAUUGAAGAUUUACAAACAGAUAACCACGUAAUAUUAAAAAUAUUACACAAUGUUUUGGCAACUAGAAAAAUGGACGAAACAUAAACUAUUUUUAUGUUUUGUAUAGGAAAUGUUCUUCUAUUUAUUAGGAGGGAAUACUGCCCAAGUUCUAAGUAAAAAUGGAUUGGGGAAACUAUUUACCAAUAAGCUGGCUCUUGGUUUGGGCGCAAGGGAAAUUAUCAAUUAAACUCAUUACAUACAAUGGAAAUUUUAAAAAGCCGAGAUGCAGAAGGAGAAUACCAAAAUUUAUGACUAAAUAUAUAGAUAUGUAGA
RNAcentral lists this unclassified non-coding RNA (840 nucleotides) under Camponotus floridanus (Florida carpenter ant). Its description in RNAcentral is "uncharacterized LOC105248825, transcript variant X1". The record is from RNAcentral. Lineage: Eukaryota; Metazoa; Arthropoda; Insecta; Hymenoptera; Formicidae.